Molecule: ribosomal RNA, 881 nt
Filed under: Trichoderma sinuosum
Lineage: Eukaryota; Fungi; Ascomycota; Sordariomycetes; Hypocreales; Hypocreaceae
Description: partial large subunit ribosomal RNA
Rfam family: Eukaryotic large subunit ribosomal RNA
Source: RNAcentral
CAGGGAUUGCCCCAGUAACGGCGAGUGAAGCGGCAACAGCUCAAAUUUGAAAUCUGGCCCCUCGGGGUCCGAGUUGUAAUUUGUAGAGGAUGCUUUUGGUGAGGUGCCGCCCGAGUUCCCUGGAACGGGACGCCACAGAGGGUGAGAGCCCCGUCUGGCUGGCCACCGAGCCUCUGUAAAGCUCCUUCGACGAGUCGAGUAGUUUGGGAAUGCUGCUCAAAAUGGGAGGUAUAUGUCUUCUAAAGCUAAAUAUUGGCCAGAGACCGAUAGCGCACAAGUAGAGUGAUCGAAAGAUGAAAAGCACCUUGAAAAGAGGGUUAAAUAGUACGUGAAAUUGUUGAAAGGGAAGCGCUUGUGACCAGACUUGGGCGCGGCGGAUCAUCCGGGGUUCUCUCCGGUGCACUUCGCCGCGUCUAGGCCAGCAUCAGUUCGUCGCGGGGGAAAAAGGCUUCGGGAACGUGGCUCCUCCGGGAGUGUUAUAGCCCGUUGCAUAAUACCCUGCGGUGGACUGAGGACCGCGCAUCUGCAAGGAUGCUGGCGUAAUGGUCACCAGCGACCCGUCUUGAAACACGGACCAAGGAGUCGUCUUCGUAUGCGAGUGUUCGGGUGUCAAACCCCUACGCGUAAUGAAAGUGAACGCAGGUGAGAGCUUCGGCGCAUCAUCGACCGAUCCUGAUGUUCUCGGAUGGAUUUGAGUAAGAGCAUACGGGGCCGGACCCGAAAGAAGGUGAACUAUGCCUGUAUAGGGUGAAGCCAGAGGAAACUCUGGUGGAGGCUCGCAGCGGUUCUGACGUGCAAAUCGAUCGUCAAAUAUGGGCAUGGGGGCGAAAGACUAAUCGAACCUUCUAGUAGCUGGUUUCCGCCGAAGUUCCCCCUCUCAG